CUGGUCUCGCACUUGUGGUGCAGCUCCUCGGCUU
Molecule: non-coding RNA, 34 nt
Filed under: Alexandrium minutum
Lineage: Eukaryota; Dinophyceae; Gonyaulacales; Pyrocystaceae
Source: RNAcentral